Molecule: RNA transcript, 2400 nt
Organism: Cucumis melo (muskmelon)
Lineage: Eukaryota; Viridiplantae; Streptophyta; Magnoliopsida; Cucurbitales; Cucurbitaceae
Exons: 20
Source: RefSeq, a predicted model, not a curated record
AACCAUUUAUUCAGCUAAACAAGUUUCAUAAUGCGGAGGGGACUUUUGAUUUUGACUUUUGAUUGCGUUCAUCAAUUAAUUAUAUAUGGGUUUGCCCAUUUUUUACUAUGUAAGAUUCGAGAAGUUUAGAAGGAUUUGGAGAUUAUAAGUGGAUGAAAUUCAUUUUCCUUAACUAACCCAUUAUUCGAUUUGACUUCCACACCUUUCUUCUUUCGCCAUUCUUACUGUUUUUAGCUCUUAAGCAGCUCGAUUUGGCAAUUUUUUUUCCUCUCUCGCACCUGGCAAAGAAUUUGAGCUCGAGAUCUCUUGGGUUUUGUUAGACAUCAUUUGGUUGUAUGAAUCGUCGGUAUAUGGACAUCAAAUGAUGUAGAGUGCUAGAUUUUUUCGUGAUGGACAAUGUUAGUGCUGAUGCAAUCAGAAGUUGCCGAAGUGAAGAACUUGAACUUCCAAUCUGAUGUCGACUACCCAUAGCUCUUUGCAGGGGCAUGAUGAUGACAGUGUUCAGGCUGCAAGAUCCCAACUAAAGAAAAGGCUUACAUUUGAAAGAUCUCUUGGUUCUAACAAUCUGAAAAGAGCUGUGGAUGUCAAUAAUCAUCAAGACCAAGAAGAUAUGGAACUGUUGUCACGAGUAAGAGCACAGGAAGGGGAGAUUCAACUUCUUCGUCAACAAAUUUCAGUUGCUUGCUUGAAGGAAUUACGACUGUUGAAUGAGAAAUAUGCACUGGAGAGGAAAUUUUCAGAUAUAAGAAUGGCAGUUGAUGAGAAGCAAACUGAAGCCAUUACUUCUGCCUUCAAUGAGUUGGGAUACAGAAAAGGAGAUCUUGAAGUGAACUUAAAAUUGACUAAUGAAUUGAAGGCUGUGGAUGAUGAAAGAUAUCACUACAUAUCAUCGUUGCUUGGGCUUUUGGCAGAAUAUGGCAUAUGGCCUCAGGUCAUAAAUGCCUCAGUUUUAACCAACAGUGUGAAGCUUCUUCAUGAUCAGUUGCAGCGGAAGAUCAGAACUUCUUAUGAAAAGAUUGGAGAACGAACAUCUCCUGCUGAAAAUCAAUUCGAGGGUGGAUUUCCAUAUAAAAAGAGAGAGAAUACUGAUGUUAAGUUCUUUGAGAGUGGAUAUCAAUAUCAAAAGAGAGAGAGUGUUGAUAUAGGGACUUCAAGAUACCAGCUUCCUGCCAAAGCUGAGCCUUUGAGAACAACUGAUGAUAUGUUUAUAUCUAGGAUGCAAAAUAAUAUUCCAGGACCAGUAGACUUAAGUCUAAGACCUGAAAUGUACCAGCCUGUCAACUACGACAAUUCUCCAGAACCUUUAUUCUAUGCUGGCAGGGAGGUACCUGGUGCUUUUACCCCUCCAGUUGAUGAUGAUGCUGUGGAAUUGCAACGCUAUCCAGCCGAUGAGAGAUACAACCCUGUAAUGAUUGAGGGACCUAGCAUCGAGAAUUUUCAAAUAGUUGGUGAGGCUACUCCAGGGAGCAGACUUCUUGCAUGUGGAUAUCCUACACGAGGGACUUCUCUCUGUAUAUUUCAGUGGGUUUGGCAUCUUGAGGAUGGCACAAGGCAGUAUAUUGAAGGAGCUACAAAUCCAGAAUAUGUUGUUGGAGCUGAUGAUGUUGAUAAACUAAUUGCUGUGGAGUGUAUACCAAUGGAUGAUAAAGGCCAUCAGGGAGAUCUGGUGAAGCUUUUUGCUAAUGAUCAGAACAAAAUAAAAUGUGAUCCUGACAUGCAACUGGAGAUUGACACGUAUCUCUCAAAGGGUCAAGCUACAUUUAACGUUCUUUUGCUGAUUGAUUCGUCUGAAAAUUGGGAGCCAGCAUCUAUUUCUUUGAGGAGGUCUGGUUACCAAAUUAAGAUGGGAAAUACGGAAGCUGUUGUAAUUGCUGAGAAAUAUUCAAGGGAAUUAUCGUUGAAAAUUCCUUCUGGGAUCUCUACACAAUUUGUUUUGACAUGCUCAGAUGGAUCAUCUCUUCCCUUUAAUACGUAUGAUGUUAGUCUAGGAUGCUGAUUUUUCUUGUAGGAUGCGGGAUACUCUCGUAUUGACAAUGAGAAUGUUUCAAAGCAAGCAGGCAAUGGAUGAUAGAAGGAAAGGAAAAGCAUAGAUCAAAUCCCUUCGCCAUUCAAGUAUUGUGUCCAUAUUCAUCAUUCAUUCAUUAUGCAAAGGAGAGAUGUAACUGAAUUUGUUUCAUCAUAGCCUGAACUAAUAAAUGAAAUAAAUCAUAAAGGUCUUCUGUUGCUGCUAUUUUACCUCUUACCCUUUCAUAGACAACUAUGCAUAUCUUCCCCUAUGAGUUUCUUCCCCAUAAUCAUAUUUAACAUUAUAGAUGGAGCUCUCUACAUUAGUUUGGAUUAAUUGUAGAUGUAAGGAAUGGAAAGAACAGUUAUAAUAGCACACUUCCACUUAUUUUUUUA